RNAcentral lists this long non-coding RNA (1006 nucleotides) under Mustela putorius furo (domestic ferret). Its description in RNAcentral is "lncRNA (ENSMPUG00000030142.1)". Lineage: Eukaryota; Metazoa; Chordata; Mammalia; Carnivora; Mustelidae. The record is from RNAcentral.
AGGCAAUUAGAAUGGAUCUUUUUUAAUAAACACGUAGUCAGCACCUCCCCAGUUAAUAGUCCUGCAUGUGGAAAUGUUGAUAGAAAGAUUAAAAAGGCAUAACAAACAGUCCUUGCAGAGCUCACUGCCUAGCCCUGGAGGCUGGAAGUGAGCUAUGACCGUGCGUGGGGGAGAACUGAGGGAGGAACCGCAGGAGGCUGUGGGUACCUGUCUGAGGGCAACGCGGUACCCCUGAAGAGGGGAUGGGGAGCCCUAGACUGAGUAGUUGACUGGGAACAGUCUGGGAGCAAGAAGAGAGGAAAAGAACAUUUGGGGGAGGACAUGAAAGCCAAAUUUUAGAACACCACCGGUGAAGGGCACAGCACACAGACGAUGCCAGACGAUGCGAGGACGCCAGGGCGGCAAGAGGGGAAGCGGUGAGCGUGAAGGCAGAGUCAGAUCCUCACAGGCUUUGUACGGUCUGCUCUGGAGAAAGCUCGGAAGGAUUUCAACAGAUGACGUGACUCCAUUGACUUUUUAAGGCAUCUGUGGCAGCCGCGUGGAGGGCGAACGGAGGAGGGCCAUGAGUAGGUGGGGUUGCAUCCAGAGGCCUCUGGCAGUCGCGGUCACCAUUCGAGGGCUUGACUCAAGGCAGUCAGAGGAGUGCUGGAACCAGAAUGAAGUGGGAGGAUAUUAUGGAAUGUGGAAAGACAGAACAUUAAUGAAAAUUAAACAUUCAAAAGUUUUGACCUUAUAUGAGAUGCUACAGAUCUAUGGAAACAAGAUCCCAGAACUUUGAUGUCAAUGUGUUAUUCAGAGGUCACAUAUUGGAAAGAAAUGAAGAAGAGGAAAGAAAAUAGGAAAUACGUUCUAGAAAGCAUGUAGGGUUAUUUAUUCAAUGAACAUUUAAUAAAUCUAUAUCCAGUGCUGUGCUCGGUGCUGAGAAUAAAACAAGGAUGGCCAUCCACACCCUUACAGAGUUUUGUCAUUGAGAGUGAUGAAUAGCAACCAUGGCAGAAAAAUAGGG